AUGGAGAGGGAUCAGCCAUGUUUAGACAUCAAGGACGAUGGCCGUACACGAGUGAUGAAUUGCGGUGACGCCGACGGCGGCGGCGACAGGAUCAGCUCUCUACCCGACGACGUCCUCCUCGACAUACUCCAAUGCCCCGACCUACGCACGGCGGUCAGGGCGAGCGCCGUGGAGAGGCGAUGGAGGCGCCUCCCGUGCAUGCUCCCCGAUCUCGACAUGGACAUCGCCACCCUUGUACCGCACCGUCGCUCGUGGUUCUCGGUGGAUUGUGUCAUGGCCACGUACACCAAAUCCAUAAUGUGGUUUCUGCUGCCCACCCGUCACCGGACGAGCUUGCGCCUCGCCUUCUACCUUGUGGAAGUAGACCCGUGCCUGCUCUCCAUCGGCGACGCCAUCACCGCCACCACUACCGACCGCCUUGAGCUCACCUUGAGGACUGCAUACGAUGUUGAGUUCGGCGAGUACGAUCGACACCUUGCAUCGUUCUUGGCGGCCUUCCCCACCGCCUUCGCCCGGCUCACCAACAUCACCCUGCACGAGUUCGUCUUCGCCACCAGCUCGGAGAUCACCGGUCUCCUUGACGCUUGCCACGGCCUAGAGCUCCUCUCCUUGACCAGCUGCAGAUGUUUGGACUCCUUUGUGGAGAAAUUGGAAAUCGACGCUCCCAACUCGUCGCUCUUGGCCUUGGAACUCCAUGACUGCUUCUUCCACGGUGUCGAGCUGACCAGACUCCCGAAACUUGACCGCCUUCUGUGCGAUGACUUGACGUUGGUCCAGAGCAUGCGGUUCAGCUCUGUUCCUCUCCUUCGUGCCAUAAGCCUCUCGGCACAGCAUCUGCAAUGCUACAUUCAUAAUCCAGCAUUGCUCUCUCCGGCCUUCAAUAACCUCACAGAUGUUUCUCUUUGCUACAUAGAUAUCCUCAACAUGGCCUGGAUUAUUUCUGUUCUAGACGCUGCGCCCUUCCUGAGCAACCUUUCAAGAUGGGUCAAGUUAGCUUCACAUGCCAGCUCAGGAAAGAUGUUUUUCCGUCUAGCUAUGCUCAAGAACGCGCCUGGUCCACUAUGGUAUCUAUAUAUUGUAGUGAUGAGAUUCCUUGUCUCAACAUUGAUUGAUGCCCUCACCCAGAUAUAA
This 1131-nucleotide ribosomal RNA is filed under the name Triticum aestivum (bread wheat). Its description in RNAcentral is "partial small subunit ribosomal RNA". The record is from RNAcentral. Lineage: Eukaryota; Viridiplantae; Streptophyta; Magnoliopsida; Poales; Poaceae.